AGUCUUAUAGUUUAAUUUAAAACAUUAAAUUGCAAAUUUAGUAAUGGGAAAUAUAACCUAAGACUU
This 66-nucleotide transfer RNA is filed under the name Phlogotettix sp. EMHAU-2015-Zz052705. RNAcentral describes it as "tRNA-Cys". It matches the Rfam family "tRNA". From Rfam's summary of the family: Transfer RNA (tRNA) molecules are approximately 80 nucleotides in length. Their secondary structure includes four short double-helical elements and three loops (D, anti-codon, and T loops). Lineage: Eukaryota; Metazoa; Arthropoda; Insecta; Hemiptera; Cicadellidae. The record is from RNAcentral.